GUGGGGAAUAUUGGACAAUGGGCGAAAGCCUGAUCCAGCCAUGCCGCGUGUGUGAAGAAGGUCUUCGGAUUGUAAAGCACUUUAAGUUGGGAGGAAGGGCAGUAAGUUAAUACCUUGCUGUUUUGACGUUACCGACAGAAUAAGCACCGGCUAACUUCGUGCCAGCAGCCGCGGUAAUACGAAGGGUGCAAGCGUUAAUCGGAAUUACUGGGCGUAAAGCGCGCGAAGGUGGUUUUGUAAGUUGGAGGUGAAAGCCCCGGGCUCAACCUGGGAACUGCCUCCAAAACUACAUGACUAGAGUACGGUAGAGGGUAGUGGAAUUUCCUGUGUAGCGGUGAAAUGCGUAGAUAUAGGAAGGAACACCAGUGGCGAAGGCGACUACCUGGACUGAUACUGACACUGAGGUGCGAAAGCGUGGGGAGCAAACAGGAUUAGAAACCCCAGUAGUCC
This 450-nucleotide ribosomal RNA is filed under the name uncultured bacterium. RNAcentral's name for it is "bacterial SSU rRNA". It matches the Rfam family "Bacterial small subunit ribosomal RNA", at positions 354 to 796 of the family's 1533-position model. The record is from RNAcentral.